GCCCUCGUGGAUCAGUGGUAGAUCAGUCUUUCCACAUAAAUGACAACAGUCGUGUCGGAGGCUGGAGUGGGUUCGACUCCCACCGAAGGCA
Non-coding RNA from Mycena polygramma, 91 nucleotides. The record is from the annotation of a GenBank genome assembly. NCBI's taxonomy places the organism in Eukaryota, Fungi, Basidiomycota, Agaricomycetes, Agaricales, Mycenaceae.